CCUACGGGAGGCAGCAGUAGGGAAUAUUGCUCAAUGGGGGAAACCCUGAAGCAGCAACGCCGCGUGGAGGAUGAAGGUUUUCGGAUUGUAAACUCCUUUUGUUAGAGAAGAUAAUGACGGUAUCUAACGAAUAAGCACCGGCUAACUCCGUGCCAGCAGCCGCGGUAAUACGGAGGGUGCAAGCGUUACUCGGAAUCACUGGGCGUAAAGAGCGCGUAGGCGGGAUAGCAAGUCAGGUGUGAAAUCCUAGGGCUUAACCAUAGAACUGCAUUUGAAACUGUUAUUCUAGAGUAUGGGAGAGGUAGGUGGAAUUCUUGGUGUAGGGGUAAAAUCCGUAGAGAUCAAGAGGAAUACUCAUUGCGAAGGCGACCUGCUAGAACAUAACUGACGCUGAUGCGCGAAAGCGUGGGGAGCAAACAGGAUUAGAUACCCCUGUAGUC
Molecule: ribosomal RNA, 440 nt
Filed under: uncultured bacterium
Lineage: Bacteria
Description: partial 16S ribosomal RNA
Rfam family: Bacterial small subunit ribosomal RNA
Source: RNAcentral